CCUGCAAGAAACAGAAAAUGGAAAGAAACUUUAGCUAUGGUAAUUAAAUACCCAUCCAAAUAUUUCUUAAAGAUGUUUUAGUGCAGCUGCAUUAGAGAGCUCUGUCUUUCCCCUAUUUCUAUUUUCUCAUUAGUCAGAACUUCCCUUGUGUCAUAUCAUCCACUAUUCAAACAAUUUCUAAAUCUACAUCUAACCUCAUCUAGAUAAGUUUUAUUUCAAUGCUGCAGUACCUAUAUUUCACUCAGUAAUGGUGCAGAAUAUUCAUGUGCUAUCCAAAAUAUGUAUUUUUGUGAUUUUACCACCUCAAGUCUUCCAGAUCUACAGGGUAUAAUCUAAUGAACCUAUUAAUGUAUCUUAUUACUUCAUAUUAAAGAGCUGCAUUUGUUAUAAGACUUUUUUACUUCAUAAUUGAAUUUACAGAAAUAGAAUUGGGACUGUUUAAGGAUCAGAGUACAGCAGAUGUUGCUACUUCUGAAGUCUACAAACAACAAAUCUACAUCUGACAAAAAUACUUCCUGCGGGUGCAAAGAGAAUGUUUUUCCCCAAUUAACUUCAUUCUAUUUGGAAAUUCCUUGGAAAAAAAAUCCUAUUAAUAGCAUUAAAAGUAGUACAUUAAUAUUUUCCAAGUGAAUUAAAAAAAAAAACAACAAAAAUCUGUGCAGGAAAGAUGAUAAGAUGACUAGUUCUUGUGCCAUGACUGAUACUGGAACUAGAAACAAAUGCAUCCAUGAGUACCCAACACUUUUGUUUAAAUAAAUUUUACACAUACAUCAAUUCAAUUGUCUUACAGGUCUUUUCCAAACUAAUGGUUCUAGGGCUAUUUUAGGCAACUCAUGCAUUCAUUAUAAUUUUCUUGGAUUUAGUUUACGAAUUAAAGACUUUAAAUAAGACUUUAAAAUAUGUUUUUUCUGCUACUUAACUGAAUUCAGUAUUCACCUCAGUUAGUUUGACUUAAGACAACCAGAUGUACAUUUCAAGUCAAUCAUUCACCACUAAACAAACAAAAAACUUAAAACCCCCCCAAAAAACCAAAAAAAACCCCUAAGCAUAUUAUGAAUUAUAACUGCUCAACUGGUGAUUGAUUAUACCUGCUAAUUGGCAAGACUCAGUAUUGCAUGUGUAGUGUUUCAUUUGCAAGAGAGCAGUUACUAAUUAAAAUCCCCUCUUGUUUGGAACUCCUUUCCCGCAGUUAAUAUGUCCUCCCAACUACAGGCUAAGCUCUUUUUUUUCCAAUAUAAAUUGCAGUAAAUAAAUAGUUUAAACUAACCAAUAAUUUUUAAAUAACAAAUGGAAGAAUAAUGUACUGAUGAAGUUUUGAAAGAAAACUUAAACUGUAGAGCAGCAAGCUCCUCAGUGCUUAUUAUGAACAAGAACAGCUGGCUCAAUGAUUCCAGACAGAAGAAUAGAUUAUCCUGCUUCUGAAACUUAAUUAACUUAAUACUAAUUGUGAAUUUAUGGAAGGUCCAUUUUUGGCUUAUACUACAAAGCAAUUUUUUCUAAAAAGGUUUUUGCCUUAGCUUUGCAACUUAAUCCUUCUGCAUGUCAUUAUCUCAUCUGUUAUACAUUUAACUGGUCUAAAAAUAAAAACAAAAUUGAGUGUUUGGUAAAGACAACUGGGAACAGACUUAAACUGUUUUCUAAAGUAAACUGAUGCAGAGUAUAAGCAAAUUGUCAGAGAAUUGCCUUUACUAUUCUGCAGAGUGCUUUGUCCAAACGGAGAAGAAAUGGUGCAAUACAGAGACUACAACUUCAAGAACUCAUAGUUCAGGAGUACAGUACAAAAAGAAGAUGGCCAGCAAGUUCUCACCUUUGCAACCUUACCCAUGUCUUCUAACGUUGCCCUCUCAUUUGGAAAUUGAGAAAAAGUCUGCUCAAUUUUGGCAAUCACAGCAUCUAUAUUUACUUUUUCCUUAGGACAUCCUCGAGGAAAAUAAAAAGUUGGAAUGUUUUGACUA
Taeniopygia guttata (zebra finch) is the source of this 1955-nucleotide non-coding RNA. The record is from RefSeq and is a predicted model, not a curated record. NCBI's taxonomy places the organism in Eukaryota, Metazoa, Chordata, Aves, Passeriformes, Estrildidae.